Molecule: ribosomal RNA, 97 nt
Filed under: Caerostris darwini
Lineage: Eukaryota; Metazoa; Arthropoda; Arachnida; Araneae; Araneidae
Source: RNAcentral
AUGAAUAUACCGGUUCUCGUUAGAUCACCGAAGUCAAGCAUCAUUGGGCGCGGUCAGUACUUGGGUGGGUGACCACCUGGGAACACCGCGUGCCGUU